This 460-nucleotide ribosomal RNA is filed under the name uncultured bacterium. Its description in RNAcentral is "partial 16S ribosomal RNA". It matches the Rfam family "Bacterial small subunit ribosomal RNA", at positions 338 to 795 of the family's 1533-position model. The record is from RNAcentral.
CCUACGGGUGGCAGCAGUGAGGAAUAUUGGUCAAUGGCCGGAAGGCUGAACCAGCCAUGCCGCGUGAAGGUCAGUGCCCUAUGGGCGUUAAACUUCUUUUGUGCGGGAGCAAUAAUGGUCACGUUUGGCCAGACGAGAGUACCGUACGAAUAAGCAUCGGCUAACUCCGUUCCAGCAGCCGCGGUAAUACGGGGGAUGCAAGCGUUAUCCGGAUUUAUUUGGUUUAAAGGGUGCGUAGGCUGUGAGGUAAGUCAGCGGGGAAAUGCCCCGGCGCAAAGGGGUGAAGUGCCAUUGAUACUGGCUGGCUGGAGUGCGCAUGAAGUGGGAGGAAUGUGUGGUGUAGCGGUGAAAUGCAUAGAUAGCGCACAGAACACCGAUUGCGAAGGCAUCGGACGAAUCCGAGAUUGACGCUGAUGCACGAAAGCGUGGGUAUCAAACAGGAUUAGAUACCCUUGUAGUC